RNAcentral lists this ribosomal RNA (478 nucleotides) under uncultured Marinomonas sp. Its description in RNAcentral is "bacterial SSU rRNA". It matches the Rfam family "Bacterial small subunit ribosomal RNA", at positions 97 to 570 of the family's 1533-position model. The record is from RNAcentral. Lineage: Bacteria; Pseudomonadati; Pseudomonadota; Gammaproteobacteria; Oceanospirillales; Oceanospirillaceae.
GGCGGACGGGUGAGUAACGCGUAGGAAUCUGCCUAGAGAGGGGGACAACAUGUGGAAACGCAUGCUAAUACCGCAUACGCCCUGAGGGGGAAAGGAGGGGACUUUUCGGAGCCUUCCGCUAUUAGAUGAGCCUGCGUGAGAUUAGCUAGUUGGUAGGGUAAAGGCCUACCAAGGCGACGAUCUCUAACUGGUCUGAGAGGAUGACCAGUCACACUGGGACUGAGACACGGCCCAGACUCCUACGGGAGGCAGCAGUGGGGAAUAUUGGACAAUGGGCGGAAGCCUGAUCCAGCCAUGCCGCGUGUGUGAAGAAGGCCUUAGGGUUGUAAAGCACUUUCAGGGGUGAGGAAGGGUAACUGGCUAAUAUCCAGUUAUCUUGACGUUAGCCCCAGAAGAAGCACCGGCUAACUCUGUGCCAGCAGCCGCGGUAAUACAGAGGGUGCAAGCGUUAAUCGGAAUUACUGGGCGUAAAGCGCGC